RNAcentral lists this ribosomal RNA (384 nucleotides) under uncultured bacterium. Its description in RNAcentral is "bacterial SSU rRNA". It matches the Rfam family "Bacterial small subunit ribosomal RNA", at positions 524 to 906 of the family's 1533-position model. The record is from RNAcentral.
UACGGAGGGUGCAAGCGUUAGUCGGAAUUACUGGGCGUAAAGGGCGCGUAGGCGGAGUGGUCAGUCAAUUGUGAAAUCCCGAGGCUCAACCUCGGAACUGCAAUUGAUACUGCCAUUCUGGAGGAUAGGCGGAGAAAACGGAAUUCCACGUGUAGCGGUGAAAUGCGUAGAUAUGUGGAAGAACACCUGUGGCGAAAGCGGUUUUCUAGCUUAGACCUGACGCUGAGGCGCGAAAGCAAGGGGAGCAAACAGGAUUAGAUACCCUGGUAGUCCUUGCCCUAAACGAUGCACACUUGGUGCAGAAAGGCUCAACCCUUUUUGUGCCGUAGCAUACGCGUUAAGUGUGCCGCCUGGGGAGUACGCCCGCAAGGGUAAAACUCAAAA